RNAcentral lists this small RNA (120 nucleotides) under Marmota monax (woodchuck). Lineage: Eukaryota; Metazoa; Chordata; Mammalia; Rodentia; Sciuridae. The record is from RNAcentral.
GCCGGGCACAGUGGCGAAUGCCUGUAAUCCCAGCAUCUAGGGAGGCUGAUUCAGGAGAGAGUUCAAAGCCAGCCUCAGCAAAAGUGAGGCACUAAGCAACUCAGUGGGACCCUGUCUCUA